GACGAACGCUGGCGGCGUGCUUAACACAUGCAAGUCGAACGGGAUCCGGGCUUUCGGGUUUGGUGAGAGUGGCGAACGGGUGAGUAACACGUGAGUAACCUGCCCCCUUCUUUGGGAUAACGUCGGGAAAUCGGCGCUAAUACUGGAUAUUCUUGCUGCAUCGCAUGGUGUGGUUUGGAAAGGGUUUCUGGUGGGGGAUGGGCUUGCGGCCUAUCAGCUUGUUGGUGGGGUGAUGGCCUACCAAGGCUUUGACGGGUAGCCGGCCUGAGAGGGUGUCCGGCCACACUGGGACUGAGACACGGCCCAGACUCCUACGGGAGGCAGCAGUGGGGAAUAUUGCACAAUGGGCGCAAGCCUGAUGCAGCGACGCCGCGUGAGGGAUGACGGCCUUCGGGUUGUAAACCUCUUUCAGUAUGGAACAAGGAUCCUUCUUUUGGGGGGUUUGAGGGUACGUGCAGAAGAAGCGCCGGCUAACUACGUG
RNAcentral lists this ribosomal RNA (481 nucleotides) under uncultured bacterium. Its description in RNAcentral is "partial 16S ribosomal RNA". It matches the Rfam family "Bacterial small subunit ribosomal RNA", at positions 28 to 507 of the family's 1533-position model. The record is from RNAcentral.